Molecule: ribosomal RNA, 663 nt
Filed under: uncultured Cyanobacterium sp.
Lineage: Bacteria; Bacillati; Cyanobacteriota; Cyanophyceae; Chroococcales; Geminocystaceae
Description: bacterial SSU rRNA
Rfam family: Bacterial small subunit ribosomal RNA
Source: RNAcentral
CGGACGGGUGAGUAACGCGUGAGAAUCUGCCUACAGGACGGGGACAACAGUUGGAAACGACUGCUAAUACCCGAUGUGCCGAGAGGUGAAACAUUUAUGGCCUGUAGAUGAGCUCGCGUCUGAUUAGCUAGUUGGUGGGGUAAGGGCCUACCAAGGCGACGAUCAGUAGCUGGUCUGAGAGGAUGAUCAGCCACACUGGGACUGAGACACGGCCCAGACUCCUACGGGAGGCAGCAGUGGGGAAUUUUCCGCAAUGGGCGCAAGCCUGACGGAGCAACGCCGCGUGGGGGAGGAAGGUUUUUGGACUGUAAACCCCUUUUCUCAGGGAAGAAGAAAGUGACGGUACCUGAGGGAUAAGCCUCGGCUAAUUCCGUGCCAGCAGCCGCGGUAAUACGGGAGAGGCAAGCGUUAUCCGGAAUUAUUGGGCGUAAAGCGUCCGCAGGCGGUUAAUCAAGUCUGUUGUCAAAGCGUGGGGCUCAACCUCAUACAGGCAAUGGAAACUGAUUGACUAGAGUAUGGUAGGGGUAGCGGGAAUUCCAGGUGUAGCGGUGAAAUGCGUAGAUAUCUGGAAGAACACCAGCGGCGAAAGCGCGCUACUGGGCCAUAACUGACGCUCAUGGACGAAAGCUAGGGGAGCGAAAGGGAUUAGAUACCCCUGUAGUC